UACGUAGGGGGCGAGCGUUACCCGGAUUCACUGGGCGUAAAGCGUACGUAGGCGGCUUGUUAAGCAAGAUGUGAAAUCCCCGGGCUCAACCUGGGAAUGGCAUUUUGAACUGGCAGGCUCGAGUUCUGAAGAGGGUGGUAGAAUUUCCAGUGUAGCGGUGAAAUGCGUAGAUAUUGGAAGGAAUACCGGUGGCGAAGGCGGCCACCUGGUCAGAAACUGACGCUGAGGUACGAAAGCGUGGGGAGCAAACAGG
Molecule: ribosomal RNA, 253 nt
Filed under: uncultured microorganism
Description: partial 16S ribosomal RNA
Rfam family: Bacterial small subunit ribosomal RNA
Source: RNAcentral